AGAGUUUGAUCCUGGCUCAGAGCGAACGCUGGCGGCAGGCCUAACACAUGCAAGUCGAACGGACUCUUCGGGGUUAGUGGCGGACGGGUGAGUAACACGUGGGAACGCGCCUUUAGGUUCGGAAUAGCUCCUGGAAACGGGUGGUAAUGCCGAAUGUGCCCUUCGGGGGAAAGAUUUAUCGCCUUUAGAGCGGCCCGCGUCUGAUUAGCUAGUUGGUGAGGUAAUGGCUCACCAAGGCGACGAUCAGUAGCUGGUCUGAGAGGAUGACCAGCCACAUUGGGACUGAGACACGGCCCAAACUCCUACGGGAGGCAGCAGUGGGGAAUCUUGCGCAAUGGGCGAAAGCCUGACGCAGCCAUGCCGCGUGAAUGAUGAAGGUCUUAGGAUUGUAAAAUUCUUUCACCGGGGACGAUAAUGACGGUACCCGGAGAAGAAGCCCCGGCUAACUUCGUGCCAGCAGCCGCGGUAAUACGAAGGGGGCUAGCGUUGCUCGGAAUUACUGGGCGUAAAGGGCGCGUAGGCGGACAUUUAAGUCAGGGGUGAAAUCCCAGAGCUCAACUCUGGAACUGCCUUUGAUACUGGGUGUCUUGAGUGUGAGAGAGGUAUGUGGAACUCCGAGUGUAGAGGUGAAAUUCGUAGAUAUUCGGAAGAACACCAGUGGCGAAGGCGACAUACUGGCUCAUUACUGACGCUGAGGCGCGAAAGCGUGGGGAGCAAACAGGAUUAGAUACCCUGGUAGUCCACGCCGUAAACGAUGAUUGCUAGUUGUCGGGCUGCAUGCAGUUCGGUGACGCAGCUAACGCAUUAAGCAAUCCGCCUGGGGAGUACGGUCGCAAGAUUAAAACUCAAAGGAAUUGACGG
This 861-nucleotide ribosomal RNA is filed under the name uncultured bacterium. RNAcentral describes it as "bacterial SSU rRNA". It matches the Rfam family "Bacterial small subunit ribosomal RNA", at positions 8 to 916 of the family's 1533-position model. The record is from RNAcentral.